RNAcentral lists this long non-coding RNA (315 nucleotides) under Rattus norvegicus (Norway rat). Its description in RNAcentral is "long non-coding RNA NONRATT033276". Lineage: Eukaryota; Metazoa; Chordata; Mammalia; Rodentia; Muridae. The record is from RNAcentral.
UGGAGACCUAGCAUUCCUGUUGGGCUCAGUCACUCACCUGGCCAAGGACCCACCCCUCAGGAAGAUCCUGCUACCCCUGUAGAGGUGGAGAAAGGUUGGCUGCAUGAGAUGAGACAGCCUAGGAAGAGCCACAGGGUAUCCAGGGAAGACUGACACCAGGUCUCACCAGAGCAACGUCCUCAAACUGGGAUCUUCUCAUCCCCUAGCUGGUGAGUGAUGAUUGACUUUGAGAUUAACUUGAUGGGAUUUAGAAUCACCUAGGAGGCAAUUCCCUGGGCACAUCUCUGAGAGAGUUGAGGUGGAAACAUUAACCAG